CACGCUAGUCGAGUCGGGAAUACGCGCGGCUUGUCAGUGGUUACACUAGAUCCCGCGCAUGCGCAACAGGUAGCGCCCGUUAAAAUACGUAAACACCCGAAGACGUUACUACAAAUAACCGAAGAUUUACGAAACACUACGAAGCGUCAUUCCAAAAGUUUUGCAUCAGCAAAUUUGCCGUCUCAAUGGUGAAGACAACAAGACACUUAAAAUAAAAGCAUUAAUUAAUAAAAAUAAAUAUUUAUUGACGCUAAAAUGAUUUAUCAGAAGAAAUAUGAUGCGAAGAUUCACGAAAACUCCCGAGCAACGGACGCGGUUUUAAUUCUACGAAGAAAAUACUAUACGUAUGUGCUGAAUAUUACAGAGCACCAACACAACACGACCAGGACUGAGUACUGAGUACUAUACAGGGAGCUAGAGGAUGAUGUGUGCGAAACAUAACAGGACUGGUUCUCUGGCUCUGGUUUUCCUCGGUACAUGAAUCGUAUCGCAUCAAGUACAACGCAUUAUAUGUGUUGUUAUUAUGAGAGAGUAUACAAAGGACAUAUAAGAGAAAAUACAAGGUCAUAAAACGAGUCGUCAGACACUUGAUGUUGAUAGGUUGCUGGUUCGAGCUUCGAGCUCGAGAGGAUUGUAUUAUGAGGAUAGAGGAUGCCAGGAUCGGGUGGUACGGCUCAAGGUAAGUUUGCUUUAUGUAAAAACAAUGAGAUAAAAAUGUUUAAGGUAUGUAUUAGUAUUGGUGUACGUACGGAUAUGCUGUACUGAUUAUGAGUAUGAGUAUCUGUACGAGUAUGAGACUUUUUAUUCUCUUCUCUUGUCUCGAAUCGGGUAUACGAGAUCAAAGGGAUAAUUUUUUUUAAGCUGGAUUAUUUUCAUCGCAAAUUAUUUCGGAUUAUUUAAUAAAUGGAGUAGGUUUUUGGCGCCAACAGCAUCUGUGUUAUCAUUUAGGGACUUGGCGACUUUUUUGCCUUUAUCGUCACUACACACUACACAGCGAUGGCAUUCCCACGAUGCCUUCAGGAUCUCCAGAUGCUCUUUUUCUCGAGUGUCUUUUGGUAAAAAAAAUGGAUUUCGCGUGAUAGGUCUAAAUGUUAUUAAUGUUUGCUGGGUUUAUUCAACGUUUGUCGGCAAGUCAUUACUUUAUUGAGCUGUCGAUUAAAAAUUUUUUGCAGGUCGAUGAUGGCAAGAAAUUUUUUUUAAGAUGAAAAAAAAUUUUUUUU
Long non-coding RNA from Cotesia glomerata, 1220 nucleotides. RefSeq lists it as uncharacterized. Lineage: Eukaryota; Metazoa; Arthropoda; Insecta; Hymenoptera; Braconidae. The record is from RefSeq and is a predicted model, not a curated record. The transcript is spliced from 3 exons.